UACGUAGGGUGCGAGCGUUGUCCGGAAUUAUUGGGCGUAAAGAGCUUGUAGGCGGUUUGUCGCGUCUGCUGUGAAAAUCCGGGGCUCAACCCCGGACUUGCAGUGGGUACGGGCAGACUAGAGUGUGGUAGGGGAGACUGGAAUUCCUGGUGUAGCGGUGGAAUGCGCAGAUAUCAGGAGGAACACCGAUGGCGAAGGCAGGUCUCUGGGCCUUACCUGACGCUGAGGCGCGAAAGCUAGGGGAGCGAACAGG
RNAcentral lists this ribosomal RNA (253 nucleotides) under uncultured bacterium. RNAcentral's name for it is "partial 16S ribosomal RNA". It matches the Rfam family "Bacterial small subunit ribosomal RNA", at positions 524 to 776 of the family's 1533-position model. The record is from RNAcentral.